RNAcentral lists this ribosomal RNA (253 nucleotides) under uncultured bacterium. RNAcentral's name for it is "partial 16S ribosomal RNA". It matches the Rfam family "Bacterial small subunit ribosomal RNA", at positions 524 to 776 of the family's 1533-position model. The record is from RNAcentral.
UACGAAGGGGGCUAGCGUUGCUCGGAAUUACUGGGCGUAAAGCGCACGUAGGCGGAUUGUUAAGUCGGGGGUGAAAUCCUGGAGCUCAACUCCAGAACUGCCUUCGAUACUGGCGAUCUCGAGUUCGGGAGAGGUGAGUGGAACUGCGAGUGUAGAGGUGAAAUUCGUAGAUAUUCGCAAGAACACCAGUGGCGAAGGCCGCUCACUGGCCCGAUACUGACGCUGAGGUGCGAAAGCGUGGGGAGCAAACAGG